RNAcentral lists this long non-coding RNA (287 nucleotides) under Elaeis guineensis (African oil palm). RNAcentral's name for it is "long non-coding RNA (EGUI_LNC060192)". The record is from RNAcentral. Lineage: Eukaryota; Viridiplantae; Streptophyta; Magnoliopsida; Arecales; Arecaceae.
CCAAUUUGAAUCGUAUGAACCUAAACUCCUAAUUACCUGCAAAAUAGGCUAAAGAGCAUCAAAUUUUAAUAAAAUAAUAUCAAUUAUCAUAAUAUCUAAUGUCUCUAGUGACUUAAAUUAAGUGUUCAUCACACCUCCAAUUUGAACUUUACUUGUCCUUGAGUAAAAUAGAUACAUUAGCAUUGUGUACCAAAUUAUUCUUGAAUCAAAAGUCAUCCUAGGCAUUCUUAAUUGUAGUGGAUAUCCGGCUAGACCAUUAAAGAGGUACUUCAUUAGAUUACUAAUUC